RNAcentral lists this ribosomal RNA (254 nucleotides) under uncultured bacterium. Its description in RNAcentral is "partial 16S ribosomal RNA". It matches the Rfam family "Bacterial small subunit ribosomal RNA", at positions 524 to 776 of the family's 1533-position model. The record is from RNAcentral.
UACGUAGGGUGCGAGCGUUGUCCGGAAUUAUUGGGCGUAAAGAGCUCGUAGGCGGUGUGUCGCGUCGGUCGUGAAAACUUUCAGCUUAACUGGGAGCUUGCGGUCGAUACGGGCAUCACUGGAGUUCGGCAGGGGAGACUGGAAUUCCUGGUGUAGCGGUGAAAUGCGCAGAUAUCAGGAGGAACACCGGUGGCGAAGGCGGGUCUCUGGGCCGAUACUGACGCUGAGGAGCGAAAGCCAGGGGAGCAAACGGG